CCCUCCGCACCCCCCCUCCCCCAACUCUCCACUCCCCGGCAAGCUCCAUUCAUCUGCCCUCUAGGAGGACCCAAGGUGACAGCCCCCGCCCUCACCUCUCUCCAGGUAACAGGUCACUGCCUGCCGCCAUGCCCCCCCCACCCCAGGAGUUUGACCUUCCUCUCCAACGUUUCCUCUCACCCUCUUCUAUCAGAUACUUCUCUCACCUCCCAAAACAACUUCUUCUGACUGGUUCCUGUCGCAGCCUCUGCCGUCUGACAACUUGGAUCCCCUUUUUCCAGCCCCUCACACAUCCAGUCUUUCCUUCCUGUUCUCUUAUCGGCCUCUCCCUCUUGGCAACUGCUCUUCAUUUCUGUUUGAGUAAUAGCUUCCAAGUUCACCUGUCCUUCUCUACCCAUCUCACCUACUCCUGCUUCUAAAAGGCACAGAUCCGUCACCCUUCCCAGCUGGCUUUGGUUUCCUGGUGCCAUCCUAGUCUUGCACUAGGGCUUCCCUGGUUGGCCGGGGUGGUUGCGGUGGAGUAUUGGGUGGCCUGUGUCCUCCCGCCUCUCAGGCCUCCCUUUAUUCCUUGUCGUGCAUGCUGGCUUGUGUGUCCAAAGGAGUGACAUGACAGGUGUAAGCCAGUUUUGCUGGGGAGAAGUGAGUGGCACGCUGAGCUGCUAUGCGCUGCAGGAUCCUUGUGUAUUUAAGCCUCUGACUGAGCCUGGGGUGGGAUCUGUUAUCCCCAUUUUCUGAUGUGAAAACGAGUGUUCAGAGAGGUGCUGUUUUGUGAGGUUAAACAGCUAAUUAGUGGCAAAACCAAGUGUAUCUGAUUGCAAAAUCAAUGUUCUCUCCACCCCAAGGAUCCUUGGCCUGGGAGAUGGCCCUAUCCACAGGCAGGCCUAGGCCAGCACAGACUGACUCUGCCCUGGGCCGUCUUGCCUAGUUCUUUAAUCAUUUCUUCAGUCACUCACUUGGUCCAUUAAUGACUGGCAGCCCUGAGCUAGGCACGGAGGGGGUACCAGUGGACAAAAGCAAUGCCAUCUCCAUGGACCUGAUAGGCUAAUGAGGAAUGAUGCUAAUCCCACAGUAAUUCUUCGAUUGCCUGGUGUGAUCAGAGAAUGGACCUGGAGGAGAAGGAUUUGGGGAGAGUUUUCUAGAGAAAGUGACAUUUACACUGGGAGCGAAUAAAUGCGCAGAGCUUUAACCAGGUCACAUGUGGUGAGAAGAACAUUCCAGACAGAGGGAACAGAGUGUGUGAAGGCUCUGACGGGUAAGGGCUUGGCAUAGUCAAGGGACAGAAAUAAAACCGAUGUGACCAGAGGCUGAAGGGCAAGGAGGGGGAAGUGGCAGGAGGCUGGAGAUCAGCCAGGGCCGCUGUGGUCAGAUUUGAGACUUGAUUCGAAAAACAACGGGAAGCCAGGGAGUGGAUUCUAGCAGGGGUGUGGCGUGGUCAGAUUUGCAUUUUUGGAAGAGCAUCCUGGCUGCAGUGCCAAGAAGGAGUGGAGGGAGCCCAAGUGGGUGUGAGGAGACUAGGCAGGAGGCUACCUUGUAGCCCAGGGGAGACGAUAACCUUGUUAAUAAAGACAACAACCAGAGGGAAGGGAAGGUUCAACUGGGGAGAUUUCUAGCUACUAAUGCUGGGACUCAACAUUGCACUGGGAGCCCAAUUUUAUCUUGGAAGCUGAUGAUGUUUGCUGAAGGGGCAGGAUGUUUCGCCAUGGAUAGAACUAAAGCUGAGUGCGGGAAAUGAGAGAUCGGGGCCAGAGUACUAGAGACAGCCAGGCUUGCCAUGGCUCAUGGAAGCCAACCUGCGUUGUAACCGUGUCCUCUAAAGAGGAGCCUUAGGGUGUGUGUGGCCUUUCCUCCCAGCACCACUGAGAGCAUCUCUCCUGGCCAGCUCUGCUACCCAACCAACACUAUGGUUUAACGUGGCCUUGUUUUGCUUCGCUUUACCUGCCCCUCAGAGAAGACUGAGUCUAAAGUUGUUCCUACCCCAGCACGCACCUGUUACCCCAAGAGCCCUGGUGUGGCCAUGUUUCAGGCCUGAUAUCUGGACGCCCACCUGAGAAUGUGGGAAAAAAGCUAAAAACUGACACCACACAUAUAAAUCAAUGGCCCAAACUUGACCAGUAGCCAUGGUCACCCAGUACUCCAGUUGCUUGUCAGCUUCUGGAAGCUAGUGAAGAGGUGCCUUUUUGUUGGGGGAGAGAGAUAGAGGAGAAAUCCCAACCAGAGCAUCCUUUCAGAGAGAAGCCCUCUUCUUAAGGCCUGAAAGGAGAAAAGACAUUCCAGUUUUUCUCUCUGGUCAAGCCCUUCUAGCAACACCCCACUACCAUCACCACCAUGCUGCCUUGUUCAUCUCCCUCCUCUCCUCCUGCUGGACCAGGCAGCGAUGCUGACACCUGUUGAGGCUAGAACCUGGCUCCUGUAAUGUGAGGACCAGGAGGGGCAUUGAUGGGGAAGGGGCUUGUCAUGAGCUAGCUCUGUGGCUGGGGCUCAUUUCUGGAUGGUGCCUCCUCAGAGUCCUUCUUCCCACGUGUGGUCCUUGAGGGGGAGCCCGCUGAGCUCUGCUGUUAAAUUCCAGGGGCAAGGCUUGGCCCCACUGGUUUCCCUUGUUCCUCUCUUUGCCACACCCCCUCUCUGUACACACUUACACACAUUCACACUCACAGGAAAGCACACACACACACACACACACGAGAAACAAGUCGAACUUGUUUGAGCCAACACACUGUGGGGAUGAGACAAGGUCUGCUGUAGCCUUGGACUUGAGAAAGUGAACGCUUGCCUUGACAAAGUGACUCAGUGAUGGCUUAGAAGUCUCCUCACCCUGACUCUCAGGGUUCCUCACUCCAGGCUUAGGCAAGAGCAGCUCACAUUGCUAGUGGAGCAUGAAGUCCAUUGAUCGAGCUGCAGCCGGCAUUGUUUUUUUAAAGAAGUAGGAAAGGAAGGAACUUCAGGUCCAGGUCUCCCAAGACUGGAAGUCCUGUGUUUCCCAGACUUAGGUCAUCCAUGAAUCACUGUCCCAGUUUUUUUUUUUUUUUUCAAAUUGCAUUCAACUUGAACUCUUUAGUAUUUGUCUUUAAGUGGACUCAUUUUUUGUUUUACCAUUUACUCACCCUAGGCAAUAACACCAAAGAUAUCACAGGUUGUACACGCACUUUAAAAAUAGAGCUGCUGGGAGUUCCCAUCGUGGUGCAGUGGUUAACGAAUCCGACUAGGAACCAUGAGGUUGCAGGUUUGACCUCUGGCCUCGCUCAGUGGUUUAAGGAUCCGGUGUUGCCCUGAGCUGUGGUGUAGGUCACAGAUGCGGCUCAGAUCUGGCAUUGCUGUGGCUCUGAUAUAGGCUGGCCGUAACAGCUCCAAUUCGACCUAGCCUGGGAACCUCCAUAUGCUGUGGGUGCGGCCCUAAAAAAGACAAAAGACAAGAGAAUAAAUAAAUAAAAAUUUAAAAAAUAAUAAAAAUAGGAGUUCCCAGGCUAGGGGUCAAAUUGGAGCUGCAGCUGCUGGCCUGCACCACAGCCACAGCAAGCGCCUGAUCUGGGCCUUGUCUGUGACCUACACCACAGCUCAGGGCAACGCCCAAUCCUUAACCUACUGAGAGAGGCCAGAAAUCAAACCUGAGUCCUCUUGGAUGCUAGUUGGGAUCACUAACCACAGAGCCACGACGGGAACUUCGUGAAUGUCUUUUUAUGUAUUUGUAAACUAUUUGCACCUUUUUUGUUAACCGCCUAUUCAGGUCCUUUGCCCAUCUUUGUAAUGUAUAGUCCAUCUUUUUCUUAUUUAUAUCAUAAUAAUAGAUAAUAAAGAAUAUUAGCCCAUUUUCCAUCAGACAUAUUACCACUUGUUUCCAGAUCUCAUUUGUUGUUUAGCUUAACAUGUUUUCUUCCAUUUAAACCUUUCUGUUUUCCAGGUAGGUAAAGCUAUCAUCUUAUUAUUCUUAGAAAGACCACCCUACUUUUUGAUUUUAUACAUAAAAGCAAAAAAUAUCAUAGUAGGAGUUCCCAUCGAGGCUCAGUGGAAAUGAAUCUGACUACCAUCCGUGAGGAUGCAGAUUUGAUCCCUGGCCUCGCUCAGUGGAUUAAGGAUCUGGCAUUGCUAUGGCUGUGGUGUAGGCUGACAGCUGUAGUUCCAAUUUGACCCCGAACCUGGGAACCUCCAUAUGCCACAGGUGUGGCCUAAAAAAAUAAAUAAAUAAAUAAAAUUAAAAAAAUUUUUUUUUUCGUUUUCUCAUACUUCAGUGUUUCUGUUUGUUUUUUGCUUAAAUGUUUUAUCUAUCUGGAGGGUUUUUUUUGGUGAAAAGAACAAAAUAGAGAUUAAUUUAGGUUUAUAUUUUUCCAGAUGACCAACUGGUUAUUCCAGUAGAUUUAUGGAAUAAACUGUCUUUUUCCACUGAUUUAAAAAAAAAAAACAAACCCUUAUUACACAUCAAACAUCCACUGGCAUAUUUUAGUCUCUUCUUGGACUCUGUACUAAUGAAAUCAUUCAUUUUUAUUAAGUUUUAGCCAUUAGUUUUUUUUUUUUUAGUCUUAUUGGAGUAUAGUUGACUUAGAAUGUUGUAUUAGUUUCAGGUGUACAACAAAGUGAAUCAGUUAUAUACACAUAACUGAUAUAUAUGAACGAAUAUGUAUAUAGUCAUAUAUCCAUUCUUUUUUCCCAUGUAGGUUAUUACAGACUAUUGAGUAGAUUUCCUUGUGCUAUACAGUAAGUCCUUAUUAAUUAUUUUAUGUACAGUAGCAGCAUAUGGAGGUUCCCAGGCUAGGGGUCAAAUCAAAGCUACAGCUGCCAGCCUACGCCACAGCCACAGCAACGCCAGAUCUGAGCUGCAUCUGUGACCUCCACCACAGCUCAGUGCAAUGCCAGAUCCUUAACCCACUGAGCAAGACCAGGGAUCAACACACAUCCUCAUGGAUACUAGUCGGAUUUAUUUCCACUGCUGCACAACAGGGACUCCCCAGGAGUGUGUAUAUGUUAUUCCCAUCCUUCUAAUAUAUCCCUAACCACUCCCCCCACCGCCGCCCUCAGCUGCUUUCCCUGUGGUAACCAUAAGCUUGAUUUUGAAAUCUCUGAGUUUGUUUCUGUUUUAUAAAUAAGUUCUUUUGUACUGUAUAUUAGACUCCACAUAUAAGUGAUAUCAUAUGGUAUUUGUCUUUCUCUGACUUACUUCACUUAGUAUGAUAAUCUCUAAGUCCAUCCGUGUUGCUGCAGAUGGCAUCAUUUUGUUCUUUUUUAUAGCCAUUAGUUUUUGGUUUUGUUUCCCACCUUCCUUCUGUUCUAUUCCAGCCAGGAUUCUGUUCCACCAGAGAAAGCAAAGGGCAGGACGAGAGUUGAGCGUCAACUCUGGGCCAUGUUGCCGGCCUUGGAGAAACAGGGUCACGUCUGCCUUUGCAGAGCUGUGGCUGCCCAGCGUGCCCUGACCCCGAGGUUACGGGGCUGGAGUAGGGAGAAAGCAUCUCAGGGAAGCCCAACAACCUAUGGGAAGCCCAUGGGAAGAGGGUGCACAGUGGGUUAUGAAAUGGUAGUGAUUCCAGCAGGAGAUGGCGGGAUAGGGAGGGGUGUGGAGGGAACAGCCUUGCCCCUGGAACUCAGCCUGGGGACAGGUCCUGUGUACUUUCUGCUUUGGGUCCACAGCCUGUGGUGGGAGAAGGGGCCUACAGGUUGAGUUCUAACUGUGUGUGAACAGCCCGAGGCUGGGUGAGCAGGCGGGAGCCCCAGGGAACCUGGCACCUCUCUUGCAAAGCCCUGCAAAUCUAAAACUUUUUGUCCCUUUGGCCAAGGGAACUGGAUACUUAAACCCCCUCCACUUCCUUUCACCAAAAUCAAAUGAGGAGUGGAGUUCCCGUCGUGGCUUAGUGGAAACGAAUCCUACUAGUAACCAUGAGGUUGUGGGUUUGAUCCCUGGCCCUGCUCAGUAGGUUAAGGAUCCGUUGUUGCCAUGAGCUGUGGUGGAGGUCACAGAUGCGGCUUGGAUCUGGCGUAGCUGUGCCCAUGGUGUAGGCCGGCAGCUGUAGCUCUGAUUAGAUUGCUAGGCUGGGAAUCUCCGUAGGCCGUGAGUGCGGCUCUAAAAAGCAAAAAGAAAGAAAGAAAGAAAGGAAGGAAG
RNAcentral lists this long non-coding RNA (6082 nucleotides) under Sus scrofa (pig). RNAcentral describes it as "lncRNA (ENSSSCG00005042463.1)". The record is from RNAcentral. Lineage: Eukaryota; Metazoa; Chordata; Mammalia; Artiodactyla; Suidae.